RNAcentral lists this ribosomal RNA (442 nucleotides) under uncultured bacterium. RNAcentral's name for it is "bacterial SSU rRNA". It matches the Rfam family "Bacterial small subunit ribosomal RNA", at positions 338 to 795 of the family's 1533-position model. The record is from RNAcentral.
CCUANGGGGGGCUGCAGUCGAGAAUAUUCCACAAUGGGCGAAAGCCUGAUGGAGCGACGCCGCGUGCAGGAUGAAGGUUUUCGGAUUGUAAACUGCUUUUCUCAGGGAAGAAUUUGUGACGGUACCUGAGGAAUAAGAGGUUGCUAACUCUGUGCCAGCAGCAGCGGUAAUACAGAGACCUCAAGCGUUAUCCGGAUUUACUGGGCGUAAAGCGUCCGUAGGUGGUUUAGCGGGUUAAAAGUAAAAACUUCGCGCUCAACGCGAAGGCUGCUUUUAAAACUACUAAACUAGAGAGUGGGAGAGGUAAGCGGAAUUGCAGGUGUAGUCGUAAUAAGCGCUGAUAUCUGCAAGAACACCAAAUGCGAAGGCAGCUUACUAGAACACUUCUGACACUGAGGGACUAAAGCGUGGGGAGCAAACAGGAUUAGAUACCCGANUANUC